AGUUUGAUCCGGCUCAGGAUGAUCGCUAGCGGCAGGCCUAAUACAUGCAAGUCGGACGGUAGCCGACCCUUCGGGGCCGGCGAGAGUGGCGGACGGGUGCGUAACGCGUAUGCAACCACCCCCCCACAGCGGGACAGCCGGUGGAAACGCCGGGCAAUCCCCGUAUGCCGCCGUGUCGGGGCCUCCCGGCAUGGCCAAAGGCUACGGGCGGGGGGGGACGGGCAUGCGUGCCAUUUAGCUGGUUUGGCGGGGGCGACGGCCCACCAAGGCGACGAUGGCUAGGGGAUCUGAGAGGACGGUCCCCCACACUGGUACUGAGACACGGACCAGACUCCUGCGGGAGGCAGCAGUAAGGGAUAUUGGGCAAUGGGGGGAACCCUGACCCAGCCAUGCCGCGUGAGGGAAUGGGGCCCUACGGGUCGUGAACCUCUUUUGCCGGGGGACAACGGCGGCGUCGAGAACGCCGCGUGCGGGUACCCGGCGAAUAAGCGUCGGCUAACUCCGUGCCAGCAGCCGCGGUAAUACGGAGGACGCGAGCGUUAUCCGGAUUCAUUGGGUUUAAAGGGUGCGCAGGCGGCCUGCCAAGUCAGCGGUGAAAGCCCGGGGCCCAACCCCGGAAGUGCCGUUGAUACUGUCGGGCUGGAAUGCGGUCGAGGCGGGCGGAACGUGGCGUGUAGCGGUGAAAUGCGUAGAUAUGCCACAGAACGCCGAUAGCGGAGGCAGCUCGCCAGGCCUGCAUUGACGCUCGGGCACGAAAGCGUGGGGAUCGAACAGGAUUAGAUACCCUGGUAGUCCACGCCGUA
This 803-nucleotide ribosomal RNA is filed under the name uncultured bacterium. RNAcentral describes it as "bacterial SSU rRNA". It matches the Rfam family "Bacterial small subunit ribosomal RNA", at positions 10 to 804 of the family's 1533-position model. The record is from RNAcentral.